AUUGAACGCUGGCGGCAGGCCUAACACAUGCAAGUCGAGCGGAUGAAGGGAGCUUGCUCCUGGAAUCAGCGGCGGACGGGUGAGUAAUGCCUAGGAAUCUGCCUGGUAGUGGGGGAUAACGUCCGGAAACGGGCGCUAAUACCGCAUACGUCCUGAGGGAGAAAGUGGGGGAUCUUCGGACCUCACGCUAUCAGAUGAGCCUAGGUCGGAUUAGCUAGUUGGUGGGGUAAAGGCCUACCAAGGCGACGAUCCGUAACUGGUCUGAGAGGAUGAUCAGUCACACUGGAACUGAGACACGGUCCAGACUCCUACGGGAGGCAGCAGUGGGGAAUAUUGGACAAUGGGGGAAAGCCUGAUCCAGCCAUGCCGCGUGUGUGAAGAAGGUCUUCGGAUUGUAAAGCACUUUAAGUUGGGAGGAAGGGCAGUAAGUUAAUACCUUGCUGUUUUGACGUUACCAACAGAAUAAGCACCGGCUAACUUCGUG
This 484-nucleotide ribosomal RNA is filed under the name uncultured bacterium. Its description in RNAcentral is "partial 16S ribosomal RNA". It matches the Rfam family "Bacterial small subunit ribosomal RNA", at positions 30 to 507 of the family's 1533-position model. The record is from RNAcentral.